RNAcentral lists this ribosomal RNA (422 nucleotides) under Bacillus sp. CJPL-22. RNAcentral describes it as "bacterial SSU rRNA". It matches the Rfam family "Bacterial small subunit ribosomal RNA", at positions 50 to 447 of the family's 1533-position model. Lineage: Bacteria; Bacillati; Bacillota; Bacilli; Caryophanales; Bacillaceae. The record is from RNAcentral.
GCUAUCUGCAGUCGAGCGCGGGAGCAGGCAGAUCCUCUUCGGAGGUGACGCCUGUGGAACGAGCGGCGGACGGGUGAGUAACACGUGGGCAACCUGCCUGUAAGAGUGGGAUAACCCCGGGAAACCGGGGCUAAUACCGGAUAAUACUUUUCGUUGCAUAACGAGAAGUUGAAAGGCGGCUUUUAGCUGUCACUUACAGAUGGGCCCGCGGCGCAUUAGCUAGUUGGUAAGGUAACGGCUUACCAAGGCGACGAUGCGUAGCCGACCUGAGAGGGUGAUCGGCCACACUGGGACUGAGACACGGCCCAGACUCCUACGGGAGGCAGCAGUAGGGAAUCUUCCGCAAUGGACGAAAGUCUGACGGACAACGCCGCGUGAGUGAUGAAUGUUUUCGGGAUCGUAAAACUCUGUUGUCAGGGAAG